AAGUCGUAACAAGGUUUCCGUAGGUGAACCUGCGGAAGGAUCAUUAAUGAGUUAGGGUCUUUUAGGCCCGAUCUCCAACCCUUUGUAUAACUACCAUGUUGCUUUGGCGGGCCCGUCUUUAACCGGACCGCCGGGGGUCUCUUGACCUCUGGCCAGUGCUCGUCAGUAGCCUACACAAAACUCUUUUAACCAUGUUAAAUCUGAAACUAGUUAAAUAAACUAAAACUUUCAACAACGGAUCUCUUGGUUCUG
Molecule: unclassified non-coding RNA, 252 nt
Filed under: Cladophialophora sp.
Lineage: Eukaryota; Fungi; Ascomycota; Eurotiomycetes; Chaetothyriales; Herpotrichiellaceae
Description: partial contains small subunit ribosomal RNA, internal transcribed spacer 1, and 5.8S ribosomal RNA
Rfam family: Eukaryotic small subunit ribosomal RNA (bases 1-46)
Source: RNAcentral